Molecule: long non-coding RNA, 2684 nt
Filed under: Medicago truncatula (barrel medic)
Lineage: Eukaryota; Viridiplantae; Streptophyta; Magnoliopsida; Fabales; Fabaceae
Description: long non-coding RNA (MTRU_LNC002491)
Source: RNAcentral
CUCAAAUGGCAAGUGCCGGAGAUGAAUUUGCCUACAAAACUCGCAACGGCAAUAUGAUCAAGGAGACUUUGGAUUGCAAUGUGAUAUGAUUGGUUUGUCUCAAAUAACUUCUCAUUUGCAUUUUAUACUACUAUCUCAAAUUAAUUAUCAAUUAAUUUAUUUAUUUUCUUUUAACAGAUUAUUAUUAUAAUUAAUAUUUAAUAUGACAAGAUAGUAUCUUGCCUUUCUUUAUUAUAAUGUCAUAAUUUUUUUGAGAGGAAUUAUAAUGUCAUAUUAUCAUAUAUUGAUUCUAACUUAAUUAGUAAGUAAUCUUUAUUGGAGUCAUCCAUUUUUAUUUUUUUUUUUAAGGAUGGAGUCAUCCAUUUGAAAGGUACUGUAAUCAUGAUCAAAUAAAAUAGAUGUUCCAUAGUAGAUUCCAUAAUUAGUCCCAUAAUAGAUCUAAGAAAAAUGUUAACCGGUGCCUACUAGUGCCUUGGACACUGGUUAAGAAAUUAUAAAAGGAAAUAUUGUAUUGGAAAUUGUGCAUUUCACUUUUUGAAAAUUAAAAAAAUGUUGUUUUUAAUGCAAAAUUUGAUUUUUCUUUCUACUUUUAGUUCCUUAACCAGUGCCCGCCCCCGGGGCACUGGUUAACAAGACCCUAGAUCUAAUUAUCUUUUAAGUUGUUGGGAUACCUUAGGCAUCUAACAAGAAUCAAAGAUCCUAACUCUGAGGUGUUAGUAAAAUAAAGAAAAAUGAUAUUUGUACAACCAAUUUUUAACAAUUUUUUGACAAUUUUCUCUCUCAUACUCACAUUACAUUCUUAUUAUCUCUCUACCUUUUUCUCUCUCUAUUGAUUUUGACCAAUCAAAAUAGAGAAAAACAAAGUUGUCAUGGAAGUUGUUUAGAAAAGCUGUACAAAUAUCACUACUCUAAAAUAAAAUAAAUUUUUUGACCAAAAGAAUAAAAUAAAAUAAAAAUUUGAUUGUAACAUGGACUCCCAAUUUUCUAACAUCAGGAAUGGAUUCUCUCAAAAAGAAAAUUCUCAUGUAUUUUUUAUGUUUUAUGAUUCUCUUCAAAAAAAAAAAAUCAAACUCACUUUUCUUUUUAAAAUUCUUUUUCACUCUUCUUUGCAAUCGAUGGUGAAGAUUUCAACCGACCAAGAUAUCAUAUGAGAGGAUCCAUUCUUCUAACAUCAAGUAUUUCACGGGUAUUCUAUAUAUAUAUAUAUUUUAUUUAUUUUUUAUCCCCAUGAGCUUAGCUCAGUUGGUAGGGAUAUAAUAUAUUAUAUGCAGGGACUAGGUUCGAACCCUGGACACUCCACUUCUCCACAAUUUAAUUGUGUGAGUUCUAGCCACUAGGCUACUUGACCAAAAAAAAAAAUUCUAUAUCUUUUUAACGGAAUUCUCGUUAAUUUCUUGUUCAAUGCAUUUAUUUUAUUUUUUAUUUUCUAAUAUCAUUCAAUGCAUUCAUUUUUACACAAAUAAUUAGACUUUCUAUAUACAUGGUUAGUAUACCAAAAUUGUGAAUGGAAAUAUUAAAAAUAUCACUAUCGCAAUUAAUUUUAUCAUUAAGAAACGUAUCAAACAAUUAUAGUAGACAUAUUACAAUAUAUAUAUUUUUAAUUAAAAAAAUAUUCAAACAUAUCCACACAAAAAUUUCAGACAACAAUUGACCGCGAAAUUCUAUAAAAUAAAAAAAGGUAAACUGUUUCGAUUGACAUGUAAUAUACAUAAAGUCAGAAAAAUGAUCCUAUAAAAAUAAAAACACAUAUUCUAACUCUUCAAUUUAAGAUUCUUCUUAUUUUUUUAUUCUCUAGUCUACUUGAAGCUUAGAAAAGUGAUAUAGAGGUUGAUUUUUUUAUUUUUUUUUUGCAGGCUUAUUUAUGACGUUAAAAUAUGAUUUUUCAUAAGAAAUUAAAAAAUUUCACUAAGGAAUGAUUAAUUGUGAAUUUUCGUUCCCCAUAAUUAAAAAUUUCUUAAACAAUUCAUUCUAAUUCAUACUUCAUUUUAAAACUCCAAAAUUUUAUGGUGAAAGUUUAUAUAAUGUUCUAACCAUGCUUACAAAAUUUGAUUUGAGUGUAUAUGCUUACUAGAAACAAAAUUGCAAUUUUGCAUAUUUUGUUUGAAAAAUUAAAAUAAAUCAAGACAUCUUAGAAAGUAUAUGAAACUUUUCAUAUCAUUUUCAUGUAUUUUAUAGAUGUCUCUGCAAACAAUCUUCACAAAAUUUUAUUUAUAGGUCAAGAUUUCCGUUGUUUUAUUUUUUGAGUUUUUGACGCAUUAAAGUGUUAGAUGAAAUGCUUGAAUGAGGUUUUCAUUGAUUUGUUUCAUUUUUUAUGUUGUGUAAAUAUGGUUGACAGACACAGGCUAGGCAAGGAGAACAUGACUGAUAGCUUACGCAUAGAGAGACAGGCGGCAAACCCUAUGCCUAAAUGGGGACAAGGGUGUAUGAAUGAUGGGGAGGGAACCUCACAGACAGGUGUGUCUCAGGUUAUUGACCUUCUCAAGACCAGUACUACGUAACAGAUGAGCAGUACUAGAAUCCUAAGGAGGAGCACUACCCUGACCCUACUCAAGAGUAGUACUAACAGAUUAAGCAUAAUCAUGAGGAGCCUGAGUAGCAUGACGCACCGACACCUAAUGUUUUUCUUGGGGGCCUUUUUUUUAUCUAACUUUAUUGUUGUCAUUCAUUAAUCAUGUUGCUUACAA